This 488-nucleotide ribosomal RNA is filed under the name uncultured bacterium. RNAcentral describes it as "bacterial SSU rRNA". It matches the Rfam family "Bacterial small subunit ribosomal RNA", at positions 29 to 518 of the family's 1533-position model. The record is from RNAcentral.
AUGAACGCUGGCGGCGUGCCUAACACAUGCAAGUCGAGCGGGAAAUCGCUGAUUGAGAUUCGGUGAUUGAAGCGAUGGAUAGCGGCGGACGGGUGAGUAACGCGUAGGUAAUCUGCCUUCAGCACAGGGAUAGCCUAGGGAAACCUGGAUUAAUACCUGAUAACGCAUUGAAGUCACAUGGCUAUGAUGCCAAAGAUUUAUCGGCUGGAGAUGAACCUGCGUCUGAUUAGAUAGUUGGUGAGGUAACGGCCCACCAAGUCAACGAUCAGUAGCCGACCUGAGAGGGUGAUCGGCCACAUUGGAACUGAGACACGGUCCAAACUCCUACGGGAGGCAGCAGUGGGGAGUAUUGCACAAUGGGCGCAAGCCUGAUGCAGCAACGCCGCGUGAGCGAUGAAGGUCUUCGGAUCGUAAAGCUCUGUCCUCUGGGAAGAAGAAGUGACGGUACCAGAGGAGGAAGCCCCGGCUAACUACGUGCCAGCCGCCGC